AGGACUUUAAGUUAAUACAAUUAAACUUACAACCUUCAAAGUUGUAUAUAUCUAAGAUUUGGGUAAGUCUUA
RNAcentral lists this transfer RNA (72 nucleotides) under Psammotettix sp. EMHAU-2015-Zz053036. RNAcentral's name for it is "tRNA-Trp". The record is from RNAcentral. Lineage: Eukaryota; Metazoa; Arthropoda; Insecta; Hemiptera; Cicadellidae.